GGGUGCCUACGGGAGGCAGCAGUGGGGAAUAUUGGGCAAUGGGCGCAAGCCUGACCCAGCAACGCCGCGUGAAGGAAGAAGGCUUUCGGGUUGUAAACUUCUUUUCUUGGGGACGAAGAAAGUGACGGUACCCAAGGAAUAAGCCACGGCUAACUACGUGCCAGCAGCCGCGGUAAUACGUAGGUGGCAAGCGUUAUCCGGAUUUAUUGGGUUUAAAGGGUGCGUAGGCGGACAGUCAAGUCAGCGGUAAAAAUGCGGUGCUCAACGCCGUACAGCCGUUGAAACUGGCAGUCUUGAGUGGGCGG
RNAcentral lists this ribosomal RNA (305 nucleotides) under uncultured bacterium. RNAcentral's name for it is "bacterial SSU rRNA". It matches the Rfam family "Bacterial small subunit ribosomal RNA", at positions 333 to 653 of the family's 1533-position model. The record is from RNAcentral.